AGGAAUGUGGCUUAGUGGUAGAGUGCUUGCCUAGCAUGCAUGAAGCCCUGGGUUCCAUUCCUU
Molecule: transfer RNA, 63 nt
Filed under: Dipodomys ordii (Ord's kangaroo rat)
Lineage: Eukaryota; Metazoa; Chordata; Mammalia; Rodentia; Heteromyidae
Rfam family: tRNA
About the family: Transfer RNA (tRNA) molecules are approximately 80 nucleotides in length. Their secondary structure includes four short double-helical elements and three loops (D, anti-codon, and T loops). Further hydrogen bonds mediate the characteristic L-shaped molecular structure. tRNAs have two regions of fundamental functional importance: the anti-codon, which is responsible for specific mRNA codon recognition, and the 3' end, to which the tRNAs corresponding amino acid is attached (by aminoacyl-tRNA synthetases). tRNAs cope with the degeneracy of the genetic code in two manners: having more than one tRNA (with a specific anti-codon) for a particular amino acid; and 'wobble' base-pairing, i.e. permitting non-standard base-pairing at the 3rd anti-codon position.
Source: Rfam by way of RNAcentral